RNAcentral lists this ribosomal RNA (231 nucleotides) under uncultured bacterium. RNAcentral describes it as "partial 16S ribosomal RNA". It matches the Rfam family "Bacterial small subunit ribosomal RNA", at positions 118 to 347 of the family's 1533-position model. The record is from RNAcentral.
UGAGUAACCUGCCCUUCACUCUGGGAUAACUCCGGGAAACCGGGGCUAAUACUGGAUAUGACUCGAACAGGCAUCUGUUUCGGGUGGAAAGAUUUAUUGGUGGAGGAUGGACUCGCGGCCUAUCAGCUUGUUGGUGAGGUAAUGGCUCACCAAGGCGAGGACGGGUAGCCGGCCUGAGAGGGCGAUCGGCCACACUGGGACUGAGACACGGCCCAGACUCCUACGGGAGCA